CAGCCGCCGCGGGAAUACGAAGGGUGCAAGCGUUACUCGGAAUUACUGGGCGUAAAGCGUGCGCAGGUGGUGGUUUAAGUCCGUUGUGAAAGCCCUGGGCUCAACCUGGGAAUUGCAGUGGAUACUGGGUCACUAGAGUGUGGUAGAGGAUAGUGGAAUUUCCGGUGUAGCAGUGAAAUGCGUAGAGAUCGGAAGGAACAUCUGUGGCGAAGGCGACUAUCUGGGCCAACACUGACACUGAGGCACGAAAGCGUGGGGAGCAAACAGGAUUAGAUACCCCUGUAGUCCCUGUCUCUUAUAA
RNAcentral lists this ribosomal RNA (301 nucleotides) under uncultured bacterium. Its description in RNAcentral is "partial 16S ribosomal RNA". It matches the Rfam family "Bacterial small subunit ribosomal RNA", at positions 509 to 809 of the family's 1533-position model. The record is from RNAcentral.